This is a long non-coding RNA of Zalophus californianus (California sea lion), 4255 nucleotides long. NCBI's taxonomy places the organism in Eukaryota, Metazoa, Chordata, Mammalia, Carnivora, Otariidae. The record is from Ensembl.
AUGCCCUCAGGGGUCACAGUUGUCCCGCGUCCGCUGCUGAGACUCUUUCCAGGGAGACCUUGGAGUUUGCUGUGCGGGCUGCAGAGGCUCCGAUCCUGGCCCUUGGGCCCAGCAGGGCAUGCCCUCAUGGGCCAGGCACUGUCCAUACUUGAUGCCGCGGACUCUUCACUGCACACCUGUGACACAGGCGCGGCGCUUCCCUCCGGCCGCCGUGACAGGCCAGCUCGGACUACACGGACCUUCGUCCUCGCCGUCUGGAGAUCACGGGGGCCAGGGCGUUUGCUGGAAGCUCUGGGGCUCCUUGGCUCGUGGAAGCAUCUCCCAGUCUCUGCAUCGUCCCGUGGCACCCCCUCGUGUGCCUGCGUCCACACCUCCCCGUGGUAUGAGCAAACCAGUCCUAGUAGAUGAGAGCCCACCCUAGUGACCUCAUUUCAGCUUCAUCGCGUCUGCAAAGACCCUGUUUCCAAAUACGGUCACUUCCCCAGGUGCUGGGGCUUAGGAUGCCGACAUGAACUGGGGCGGGGAGGGACACAUUCCAUCGCAGGAGGCCCUAGGAUCUCGUUCAUGAGAGAGAAACUGAGGCGCAAAGUGAGAGUCCCGCCAGAGGCCCCACAGCUCCAAGGAGAGGUGCUCUCUGUGCACCUCCCCUGCCGUGGCUUCCAGGCCCUCCUGGGUCGCGGAGGUUAGGGGCUGUGCUUGGUCCUUGGGCAGCCUGCACGCUGUCUGCUGCUCUGGCCCUUGGGUCCCCCGUGGCUCUGGCUGAAGGUCAUGCAGUCAGGGCUCCCCUGAGAUGACAUCACUUCAAGCUCAUGGGCCUCGAGUCUGUUCAGAGUCUCCCAGGACCCGGGAAGCUCCUCAGAGGCCCAGCCCCAGGCCCUAGGCCCUCUGCUGCUGAGAAGUGGGGCCGGGGGCCCUCCGUGCACCACCGACCCCCGGGUGCCUGACCGCUCUGGACCCCACUCUUCCUGCCCCACGUGGAGGCGGCCACCUGCACUAGCCGUGGCCCCCGGCCUCCCUGCUCUGCGCUCGCGCCCCAGUGUGGCCCUAGCUCUUGGCUCCGACAGGAAAGGGUGUUAUGCUGGGGGGGUACCGCAGGGACUUGGAAGAAAUCCGUGGGAUCGUCUUCAGAUAAUGUAAACGUCACUCUUUUUUCAAUGUUCUCUUCAGUAUUUUCUGCGUUUUCAUGCUUCCCUGCACUUCCUGGUUUUGGCUGCGGUCAGAUAGCAGAAGUACUGAAAUACUUCUGAAGCGUCUCAUGGUGCUUCUGGUCUGGCCCGAAACAGGAAGUGCCGUGAAACGUGUCUCCAGAAGUUUCUGUGUCCACCUAGGGCUCCGUGCACAUGGCCGGGGGUCCCACGGGUAUGCUCAGACUCUCCACCCAGGAGGGACCCGCUCCCGGCCUGGGGACGAGACAGUUUGGGGGAACAAAGGAGCCUGUCUGUGUCAUGUCCUGGGGCGGCCGCACAGGCGCAUCAGACAGCAGACAGUCGUCCCGGUCCUGGAGGCUGACGUCUGAGGGCCAGGUGGGCAGCAUCGCUGCACCUGAGGCCUCUCCCCGGCUGUAGACACUGUCAUGCUCUGCGUCCUCACGCGGCCGUCCCUCUGCACAUCUGUCCUCCUGCAAAGGGACGCAGUCAUACGGGUUUAGGGCCACUCCCGUGAGUGCGCUUGAGCCUCUGUAGAGGCCCCGUGUCUGCCGUGCCACUCCGGGGAGCUGGGGGCCCGGGCUUCGACACGCGGCUCUCAGGGAGACACGGUUCAGCCCCCAAGGCCAUCCUUGUUGUUCUUUAAGUCCACACAGGGGCGGAAGGUGAAGCUGGUAACCGCGUAGGUUUAAACCCUGACCCUUGACAGAGCACAGCGUGUCCUGGGGGCCCCAUGAGCAGCCGACCAGGACCCUGCAGACAGGCCCCAGGGGCAGGGCGCACGGCUGGGAAGGCGUUGGCACCCCUGAGUCCGGAGGUUUUCAGGGGGUAUGCAGAUUAUUGUUUUUAAUUUGGUAAAGGACACAUAAGAGUUACUGUACGGUUCAGUGACGUGGGGCCACGCCAGCAUCUGGUUCUAGGACCCUCGUCACCCACCCAGCAGCCCCCUGCCUGCCUCUAGGGACUGAUCCAGCCUGGGUCAUGGUGGGUUUGGGAAACUGUUCCGGUUCCGGGAAACCCUCCUGAGCUGGUCCUCAGAGAAGAAACUGAAGAAAGAGGCUGUCUGGGACUCGGACCCCAGCUCUGCCCCGACCGCUGGCACCUCGGCCGGGGCCCAGGGCUGUCCUCUGUCUGAGAGUGGCGGAGGCAUCUGGACGAGCCGUGCACGGCCACCUCUCCCCCGAGCCCUCAGCCCUUCCUCGCGGCUGCCCCGCCAGAGGGGACGCUCUGUCCAGGGGGCCCCCAGGGGGCCGUCCUAGACCAUUUCCCCAGAACCAACCUGAGCGGGGCGUCGGGAUUUACGGAGGGGGGCUGUGCAGGUGGGGGAGACCGCUGGGGGGUGGGUCACAGGGCUCUGGAGGGGGAGUUAGGCUCCGGGUCGCCUGCAGGGCAGGGUGAGCGGGGCUUCCUUGCCCCCACCCUGUGCAUCAGCUCCCACGUGCCCCUUUAUGGGGGGCGCUGCGGGAAUGCCAUCCCUCAGCAGCCGGGGGGGUGCUGCCCAGCCUGGUUUUCCCACCUGCUGGCUGCUCCCAUAGGGCAGGACCAGCACCCGGUCUGGAGCGCGGGCAGGUGACGCGGGCAUCCCGGCCCUCAGCUGUCUCCGGUGGAGGAAGUUGGUCCCUGUAGGGGAUUUUGAGGGGGAUUUCCAGCUGGGGACCAGCUUUUAUUGAAAGUGCUUAAUGGGUCUGAAAGGUCUGUCCUGUAGCAAAUGAGUCACCUUGGAGGAGAGGGAGACCACAGCAUCUUCGGGUCCCGAGCCGGGCCCUGGCGCGGUGGCCGCGUGGGGCCGUGUCACGCUGCCGAGGGAUGACGAAGGCAAGCCUCCUCAGCCCGGCGCUUCUUCCCGGUGGGCGGGCACUGUGUCAGGGGGUUUCUCCUGCGUGUCACCUGUGCCACGGAGGCCCAGCUGCACAUUGUUUCUGCUGUGUCUAGCAUUCGAUUUGGUGCGCUCCUGCCCUCUCCGCCCGCCACCCCUGCAGAGGCCGACAGUGGGAACCAAAGCACACGCCAGGACUGCGUGGAGCGCCCGAGACAUGCCCCUGGGGGUGUCUGCCAGGAGAGCAGACGCUGGCCUCCGGCCCGAGCUCUGGGCCACCCCCUUACUGGCCAAGCCCAAGGGCAUGAGAACUCAGAGCUGCUGUCCGAUGAGGGGCUUGGCCUCCCCUUUGUGAGGCCCCCGGGAGGCCACGCUGGCUGCAAGCGUGGGCUGUGGGGUGCACUGCCCCUCCUGGAGGUGGGCGCUCGUCCAGGGGCAGUGGGGGGGCCACUCACUGUCCCCGUGGAAAAGCCCUUAGUUACCCCAAGAUGGUUUUCCCCAGUGCCGACAGGGAAGAGCCCACUGAGGACAGCGGCGUGGGGAAGGAGACAGAAGGAGCUGCCUGCGCUUUCACACUGACCCGAGUUAUGACUGUAGGGGUGCAGCAGCCGGAUUGCUGUACGUUGAGGGAAGAAAGAGCAAGCGCCUGACCCCGCCAGCCUUGAGCAGCCCUGCCCGGUGGUGGUGUGUGCCUGGGGCACAUGCAAACACUCCCAGACCUGGUAAUUCUGGGCUCGCGGGUCAGCACGUUUCCACAGCCUGUGCGCUGUCGCUGUUCCUUCCUGAGCUCCGAGUGGUCGCUCCCCACCCCAUUGUUUGAACUGACGGUGGGCUUGUUUGCAACUCUUCCUGAUUAAAAUGCAGUUGGGGGGCGCCUGGGGGGUGCAGUCAGCUCAGUGUCCAGCUCUUUCUGCUCAGGCCGUGAUCUCAGGGUCGUGGGAUCGAGCCCCACGUCGGGCUCCGUGCUCAGGAGGGAGUCUGCUUGGGAUUCUCUCUCCCUCUGCCCCUCCCCCCAUUCUCUCUUUCUCUCUCGCGCAAAUCUUUAAAAAGAUAAAAAUUAAUAAUAAAUGAAGUUAGGGCGCCUGGGUGGCUCAGUUGGUUGGGCGACUGCCUUCAGCUCAGGUCAUGAUCCUGGAGUCCCGGGAUCGAGUCCCGCAUCGGGCUCCCUGCUCAGCAGGGAGUCUGCUUCUCCCUCUGACCCUCUUCCCUCUCGUGCUCUCUAUCUCUCAUUCUCUCUCUCAAAUAAAUAAAUAAAAUCUUAAAAAAAAAAAAUAAUAAAUGAAGUUAGAAGGCA